CAUCAACUUUUAUAUUCACAAUUAACAUCAAAUUGUGUAAAAAUGGAAAUGUUAUUUAAUAUUUACAGUAAGAUCACUGUGUGGUCAGUAUACAAGCCUUAAUCAGCACUCCUCUGUUCACAGUUUUUAUCUGGCAUUUCAGAAGUAGUUUAUAGAUCAUUUAUAAUAAAAUAAGUCAUUGACAUUAUACGUUAAUUGUAAACUGAGUCCAGUUUGACCUAUCAGGGUCAGAUUUGCUAACAGCUUGUGCCAGUGAAAACCCUCUUUUGGUGUUAAAAACUUCUGUCAACAUUAACUAAAGGGCAGUUAUUUCAGGGCUAAUGUUACUGCAUGCAUGUAUUUUUAAGAGUUUCACUUUCAGGCACAAAAUUAUUUAAAUGAUGGUAGAUUCUGGACUGCUGAGCUUUGUUUGUACAAGUGCAAACAGGGGACGUCCCCUGGACGUUCUGAACAUCCACUUAGGUACACAGUACGUCCGCUUUUUAAUGAUUGCUGGUGGACAUUCGGAGGAAGUCCGUGUUUGGUCCUCUUUUUGAUGUUCGCUGGUGUACGUUCAGAGGAUGUCCAUAUUUGUUCCUUUUUUGGACGUUCAGAGGACAUUUGUCCGAGCCAGUGUGCGAACGUUCCACUUUUGUCACUCAUCUGCCAUUUCCAUUCCAACACUUUUUUUUUUAAAGAUUAACUGCCUUUUUUUCAAGGUAUUGUUAGAUGCCACUGUUUCCUGUCAUAGCUAUGCAAAGAUUUGAUUCCAAAAACAGUAUCAUAGCUAUUAAACUAUAUCUUAUGAUUUUAAAUCUGUAUUUAACCUCAGAAAGAUUGCAAAGUAAAAAGAGAUGCUAAAGUCCUAUUUUGAGGUGGUUGUAAUUUACAAUUAAAUUAUCAUAAUCUUAAUUCAAGUGAAGAAGGAUUCUGAAAGUCUGAAAGUAAUCAGUGUUGAGUACCACUGUAACAUUAACCCUGCCUGCUUUAAAUGAUUAAAUUGAUAUAAUUAACAUUUAAAAACAAUAGAAAUUUGGAAAAGUAAUCUUUAACCUAUAACAUUUACAAAGUAACCUUCCCAACACUGGACCUGACACCUUGCAACUCGGACAAAGAGAGUUGACAGAAUUAAACUAAAAUAUAAACUCAUAUUGGAUCUUAAAGGGUUUCAUUGCCUAAAACAAAAUCAUUAAAAAAAAAAAAAAAAAAAAAACGUAACAGAAUGCAUAAAACAAAUAUAUUUUUGGAUUUGCAGAUUGAUAUUAUUUUUCUUUACCAUAUAGAUUUGAAUACAUUGUAAAAUAAAGUUAAUGUUAAAUUAAUAAUUUUCAUUUGGAAAAAAGAAAAUAGGAGUAACUUCUGUAAUGAAAAAUGUCAUUAAAUCAGGGGUCUGUUUUCAGCAUUUAAUCAUCAAAAUCAUGAUGCCUUUCAAUAAUAUAAUUGAACAUAUAGCUUCAAUUAGGUUCAUGCAUGAAUGAAGAAAAUAAGGUUAGAUCCCAGGAGCUCUACUAGAAUGUUCUAGAGUGAUGAAUGCAGCCAAGGAAAACAUGAAGAAAAGAAAGUGGAAAAUAACACAGGUUAGAAGACAAUGGGAAGAAAUGCCAUCGACUAACCACAGCUGACAACCAGAGACACAUGGACACACACACACACACACACACACACACGAAAAGAGCACUGCAACUUUACAAUUGUUCAAUUAAAAUAAACUUAUUUUGCUUCAUACAA
Molecule: long non-coding RNA, 1707 nt
Organism: Carassius gibelio (silver crucian carp)
Lineage: Eukaryota; Metazoa; Chordata; Actinopteri; Cypriniformes; Cyprinidae
Exons: 2
Source: RefSeq, a predicted model, not a curated record